RNAcentral lists this ribosomal RNA (256 nucleotides) under uncultured bacterium. RNAcentral's name for it is "partial 16S ribosomal RNA". It matches the Rfam family "Bacterial small subunit ribosomal RNA", at positions 524 to 776 of the family's 1533-position model. The record is from RNAcentral.
UACGAAGGGGGGCUAGCGUUGCUCGGAUUGACUGGGCGUAAAGGGCGCGUAGGCGGUUCGUACAGUCAGACGUGAAAAUUCCUGGGCUCAACCUGGGGGGCUGCGUUUGAUACGUGCGGACUUGAGUGCGGAAGAGGGUCGUGGAAUUCCCAGUGUAGAGGUGAAAUUCGUAGAUAUUGGGAAGAACACCGGUGGCGAAGGCGGCGACCUGGUCCGAUACUGACGCUGAGGCGCGAAAGCGUGGGGAGCAAACAGG